UUGCCUGCCUCAGCCUCACAUUCACAUAGCAGUUGACCAGAGAGGAACACACAGAGCGGUCGGUUAGUAGGCAGUCAGUCACUGAGGCAGUAGAUUAAAGACCCGCUGAAUGCAAAACAAGGCUGACAAGAAGAGAAAUACACCUCCUGUUUACUUCGUCUUUUUUUAAAGUGUUUUUUUAGUCCUGAAAGAGGAGGUGAUUUUGUGAGUUUGACAGGGAGCUCGAGAGCAAGAGAUAAGAGGAAGAAAGAAAGCUGAGAAGACCUCUCUCUCUUUACUCGAUAACCAUGCUGCUCCUGGACGAAUCUGAGUCAUUUGCAGACCAGUCCCACAGCGUCCCCUUCAGCUCCGAGAAUGAGGCUCAGGGAGGUGAAUCGGCCGCAUGGCAGUGUAACCCUCCCCCAUCUACCUCACCGUCAGGGGGGACGCUGGCCCGCCCUCCUCCCUCCCAGCCCACAUCCAGACCCUGCUCGAGGCCGGCCAGCCAAAGCCCCUCCCCUCCCUCCGCCCUGACAGGAACCAAGAAGAGAAACUCCAAACCGGCACACAUGAGACGCAACAUCAGGUACUGAACUCAGCGUCCUCGCUUCAACUUGAAAGAUCGCCUCAGUCGAAUAGUGCAAAUGGACGGACGCUUGUUUAUCCUGUAGGGAUGCUUAAGAAACUGCACACAUAAACUGCAACAAUUAACUCGCCACCUUUCUUUUUAAAGCUUUAGAUGAAGAGUAAUAUUAUAGUAAAUUAAUUUGGUGACGUACGUGUGUUACGUCAACCCGUUCUCACUCCCGCUUGGUCAGUGGCUCUCAGCGUCACAUACUGAUGCAAAGUCUGACACAUGGGGCUGCUGUGAUUGGUUGAAGUCGCAGGAAACUCCGGUUAUUGGUCAAAUUUGCUGUAAAGUUGCUGUGAUUGGUCAAAAUUGCGAGUCGCACCGAAUUCACGGUGAUUGGUUGAAUUUGCGUGAAUUGUUGCAAUCGCGACAUCGCAAAUUCUUGGAGGGACUGAAAAUGAAAACAAACCAGACUACAAGACUGAGUUUCUUUCAGCCAUUCUUUAAACUAGAUUUUAGAAAAUGACUCAAUGCUUGACAAGCACCAG
Molecule: long non-coding RNA, 1098 nt
Filed under: Sander lucioperca (pikeperch)
Lineage: Eukaryota; Metazoa; Chordata; Actinopteri; Perciformes; Percidae
Description: lncRNA (ENSSLUG00000005643.1)
Source: RNAcentral